AACAGCCAGUGCAAAGGUCCUGAGGUGUGUUCACGCAAGGAAGCGAGGGUCACUGGAAUGGAGAGCAGAGGAAGGGUGGUCCGAGAGGAAGCAGAGGUGUGAGGAUCUCAAAGGGCCUGUGGGUCUCAUAAGGCCCUGGAGACUGGCUCUGCGGAGGGGAAGCCAUGGAGCAUCUGAGCGGACCGACACCACCUCACGUUCGUUUUAACAGUAUGGGCCGAGCUGGCGAGUUGGGAAGGGAGCCAGGGCAGAAGCAGGAGAGCAGAGAGGAAGCUUUGGCCACGGUGCAGGCCAGAGCUGAGGGCAGCCCGGGCGGGGUGCUGGCCAGCCAAGCAGUGGUGAGAAAGCCCUGGGUUCUGGAAGGAACGCCAGCAACACUUUCUGGCACACUGUGGGGGUGGGUGUGAGGUUUGGGUGGAGCUGUGGCAGGUGGGGGUCUGUGGUGUCAUAAACGGAGAUGGGCAGCUGGGGAGGAAGCAGGUUUGCGAUCGAGGGGUCAGUGGUCCACUUUUGGACAUGUUGAGCCUAAGAUGUCUAUUGGGUCCCCCCGGGGAGGUAUGGAGAGCAGGGGGGGUCAGGGGAGAGCACUGGGCGGCGACGGCCAGCUGGAAUGUUUGUCUUGGGUACAGUGUUGAAAGCCACGAGCCAGGGUGACGUCCCGCAGGGAGUGGGUGCCAAAGAGGAGACAGCAGAGCCCAUGUUUGGGGUAGGGAGUAGGGAGGAGCGACCAGCGAGGCAGGAGGAGUCCAGGACAGGGGGCAUCCUGAGAGCUGCACGAAGACAGUGUGGAGGAGAGACAAGGGACCGUGUCACGUGCUGCCGAUCGCCAGGUUCCACGAGUGCAGGCAGUGACCCGUGUGCUCAGCCACCUGGACACCGCUGGAGUCUUGGACAAGGGCAGCUGUGAUGAAGCCUGAUGGCUGGCUCGGGAGAGCCUGGGGGAGGCCGCGGGCAUAGCUCGUCGGUGGAGUGGCCUUCCUGAGUCACCAAGAAGGGUGGGACCCAAGUCCAUAGACAGGAGUGUGGCCCCCCUGCUGGCCUGGUGGUCAGAGCAUUUGGGCAGUGGGGGGGCGCUGGGGGGGUCUCAUGAAGUAGGGAGGCCAGAGGAAGUGGGGGGCUGGGGGCAAAGAAGGUACAGCACCCCCCCCACCCUGGGGCUGUGGGAGAGCCAGAGAGGAGGGACAGAGCGGGGACAGGAGAUCCCCCAAGGGCCCGAGGCUCCAUCUGGAACUCAGGGUGAGACUCCCCAGAGGGCAGUGUUUCCCUGCAGCUGACCAGGUGCGGAGGGUGGGCGCAGGAGGUCAGACACCAGAGGCUUGGCUGAGAGAGGACGUGGAAGCAAGAGGCCAAGGGAGGUGAAGUCCCCGUGACCGCGGCACGGCCGGUCUGGGGCUCACCGUGGCUCUGCUGAGGGGACGACCCAAAGAUCCCGCAGGACGGGCCACGAGGACAUGCAGCAACCAGCCCCCCUCAGAGCCAGGGCGUGGGCCGGCGGCCGGGGUGGCCGGCUGGAGCUUGCCUCUUGGCCAACCACAUACUGAUGAAGGCCUCAGCUCCCAGGGCCUCCUCCCCACACUGGACGGUUUGGACCAGCUGUGACGACCAGGUGACCAG
Molecule: long non-coding RNA, 1614 nt
Organism: Mirounga angustirostris (Northern elephant seal)
Lineage: Eukaryota; Metazoa; Chordata; Mammalia; Carnivora; Phocidae
Exons: 3
Source: RefSeq, a predicted model, not a curated record